AGGAGGUCCUGGGGCCGCCCUGA
This 23-nucleotide microRNA is filed under the name Mus musculus (house mouse). Its description in RNAcentral is "mmu-miR-5621-5p". The record is from miRBase by way of RNAcentral. Lineage: Eukaryota; Metazoa; Chordata; Mammalia; Rodentia; Muridae.